Non-coding RNA from Lactarius deliciosus, 83 nucleotides. The record is from the annotation of a GenBank genome assembly. Lineage: Eukaryota; Fungi; Basidiomycota; Agaricomycetes; Russulales; Russulaceae.
GGCGCUAUAGUGUAGUGGCUAUCACAACGGAUUCUGAUUUUCUCAACCUUCCGUUAACCCAGGUUCGAACCCUGGUAGCGCCU